UGGGGAAUCUUGCGCAAUGGGCGAAAGCCUGACGCAGCGACGCCGCGUGAGUGAUGAAGGCCUUCGGGUUGUAAAGCUCUGUGGGGAGAGAAGAAUUAGUGCAGCCUAAUACGUUGCAUGAUGACGGUAUCUCCUUAGCAAGCACCGGCUAACUCUGUGCCAGCAGCCGCGGUAAGACAGAGGGUGCAAACGUUGUUCGGAAUUACUGGGCGUAAAGCGUGUGUAGGCGGCCAGAUAAGUUGGAUGUGAAAGCCCCGGGCUCAACCCGGGAAGUGCAUUCAAAACUGUUUGGCUUGAGUACUGGAGAGGUUGGUAGAAUUCUCGGUGUAGAGGUGAAAUUCGUAGAUAUCGAGAGGAAUACCGGUGGCGAAGGCGGCCAACUGGACAGAUACUGACGCUGAGACACGAAAGCGUGGGGAGCAAACA
Molecule: ribosomal RNA, 426 nt
Filed under: uncultured bacterium
Lineage: Bacteria
Description: partial 16S ribosomal RNA
Rfam family: Bacterial small subunit ribosomal RNA
Source: RNAcentral